This 1280-nucleotide ribosomal RNA is filed under the name Obama burmeisteri. RNAcentral describes it as "eukaryotic LSU rRNA". It matches the Rfam family "Eukaryotic large subunit ribosomal RNA", at positions 211 to 1317 of the family's 3401-position model. The record is from RNAcentral. Lineage: Eukaryota; Metazoa; Platyhelminthes; Tricladida; Geoplanidae.
GGUGUUAGACCCGUUGGAAUGUACUCGGUGGCUAUUGAAGUUUCCUAUGAGUCGGAUUGUUUGAGAAUGCAGUCCAAAUUUGGUGGUAAACUCCAUCUAAGGCUAAAUACUUGUAUGAGUCCGAUAGCAAACAAGUACCGUGAGGGAAAGUUGAAAAGAACUUUGAAGAGAGAGUUAAAUAGUACGUGAAAUCGCUUAGAGGUAAACGAGUGGAGCCGAAAUAGUCGAGCGGGAUUCAGUUGGGUCUAUGAUGAUGAUCGGUUCAGUGAAAACCACAAAAGGCAUCACUGUUUCGGUAUGUUUGUUGAAGGCACAAUGCACUUUCCGUUCGAUUCGACUGUGACCAAUAGAGUUGUUUUGCUGUCGUAAUGUUGAAGGUGACCAUUUGCUUGCAAGUGGUUUUAUAGCUCAUUGCACGGUAAAAUUGAUGUAUUGGUGAAUUUGCAAUCAGUCAAUAUUGAUAAUGCGUUAUGUAUGCGGUUUGGUAGUUGGCUACAUGUAGACUGUUAUCAGGWCGUGUGCGUGAUGUAUUGUUGAUGGAUUGGUUUAAAGUCACAGUAUAAUGUAGGUUAUCUACUCGUCCCGUCUUGAAACACGGACCAAGGAGUUUUAUAUGAUCGCGAGUCAAAGGGCUUUACGAAACCCCAGGGCGCAAUUAAUGUAAAGGUUUACUUCAAGUAGACUGAGAUGUGACCUGAAAGCUAACAGCGAUCAGUGCAACAUCGACCCGUCUGAAGAUGUUCGCAUCUGGGCGGAGUUUGAGCGAUCAUGUAGAGACCCGAAAGAUGGUGAACUAUGCUUGUGCAGGUUGAAGUCAGAGGAAACUCUGAUGGAGGACCGCCGCGGUUCUGACGUGCAAAUCGAUCGUCGGACAUGAGUAUAGGGGCGAAAGACUAAUCGAACCAUCUAGUAGCUGGUUCCCUCCGAAGUUUCCCUCAGGAUAGCUGGCGUUUGUUGUCGUAGUUUUACCUGGUAAAGCGAAUGAUUAGAAGUAUUGGGGGCGAAAUGCCCUCAACUUAUUCUCAAACUUUAAAUGGGUUCGAUGUGUAGCUCGCUUCAUUGGAGUUGCACGUUGAAUACGAAUGCCUAGUGGGCCAUUUUUGGUAAGCAGAACUGGCGAUGUGGGAUGAACCAAACAUUCGGUUAAGGUGCCUAACAUCACGCUCAUGAGAUCCCACAAAAGGUGUUGGUUGAUAAAGACAGCAGGACGGUGGACAUGGAAGUCGUCAUCCGCUAAGGAGUGUGUAACAACUCACCUGCCGAAUCAACCAGCCCUGAAA